CUGGCUCAGGAUGAACGCGAGCGGCAGGCCUAACACAUGCAAGCCGAGGGGUAAGUCUCUUUCGGGAGAACACGACCGGCGCACGGGUGAGUAACGCGUAUGCAACCUACCUUUGGCACGGGGACAGCCCGGGGAAACCCGGAUUAAUACCCGGUAUAGUCUGUUAUACACCUGUAUAAAAGACGAGAGCUACGGCGGCCAAAGAUGGGCAUGCGUGCCAUUAGUUAGUUGGUAGGGUAACGGCCUACCAAGGCAUCGAUGGCUACGGGGUCUAAAAGGAUGAGCCCGCACACUGGUACUGAGACACGGACCAGACUCCUACGGGAGGCAGCAGUGAGGAAUAUUGGUCAAUGGGUGGAAGCCUGAACCAGCCAUGCCGCGUGCAGGAAGACGGCCUUAUGGGUUGUAAACUGCUUUUCUACGGGACGAACGGCUCUGACGUGUCAGAGAUUGACGGUACCGUAGGAAUAAGCAUCGGCUAACUCCGUGCCAGCAGCCGCGGUAAUACGGAGGAUGCGAGCGUUAUCCGGAUUUAUUAGGUUUAAAGGGUGCGUAGGCUGGGCAAUAAGUCAGUGGUGAAAGUCCGCGGCUCAACCGUGGGAUUGCCAUUGAAACUGUUGUUCUUGAGUACAGUCGAGGUAGGCGGAAUGUGUAAUGUAGCGGUGAAAUGCAUAGAUAUUACCCAGAACACCGAUUGCGUAGGCAGCUUACCAGCCUGGAACUGACGCUGAUGCACGAAAGCGUGGGGAGCGAACAGGAUUAGAUACCCUGGUAGUCCACGCCGUAAACGAUGAUCACUCGCUGUUGGCAAUAUAGAGUCAGCGGCUGAGCGAAAGCAUUAAGUGAUCCACCUGGGGAGUACGUCGGCAACGAUGAAACUCAAAGGAAUUGACGGGGGCCCGCACAAGCGGUGGAACAUGUGGUUAAUUCGAUGAUACGCGAGGAAACUUACCUGGGC
RNAcentral lists this ribosomal RNA (958 nucleotides) under uncultured organism. RNAcentral's name for it is "bacterial SSU rRNA". It matches the Rfam family "Bacterial small subunit ribosomal RNA", at positions 19 to 980 of the family's 1533-position model. The record is from RNAcentral.